This 305-nucleotide ribosomal RNA is filed under the name uncultured bacterium. RNAcentral's name for it is "bacterial SSU rRNA". It matches the Rfam family "Bacterial small subunit ribosomal RNA", at positions 335 to 658 of the family's 1533-position model. The record is from RNAcentral.
GUCCUACGGGGGGCAGCAGUGGGGAAUAUUGCACAAUGGGGGAAACCCUGAUGCAGCGACGCCGCGUGAGCGAUGAAGUAUUUCGGUAUGUAAAGCUCUAUCGGCAGGGAAGAAGAUGACGGUACCUGACUAAGAAGCCCCAGCUAACUACGUGCCAGCAGCCGCGGUAAUACGUAGGGGGCAAGCGUUAUCCGGAUUUACUGGGUGUAAAGGGAGCGUAGACGGCGAUGCAAGCCAGAUGUGAGAGCCCGGGGCUCAACCCCGGGACUGCAUUUGGAACUGGGUGGCUGGCGUGUCGGAGAGGG